Long non-coding RNA from Homo sapiens (human), 1577 nucleotides. Ensembl annotates it as testis expressed 14B, pseudogene. Its record names the gene TEX14BP. Lineage: Eukaryota; Metazoa; Chordata; Mammalia; Primates; Hominidae. The record is from Ensembl.
AGGCGCUGCGGGAGGCCACUGGUGCUCAAGCACCUCGGAUUCCCGCUCAUACAGCCGGCCGGAUCAUGUGGCAGUCAGGUGGCGACCACUAUCUAGCCCAACGUUGCUGGAGUUGUUGCAGCUCUGCCGGGCCCACAUAUCAGCGUUCGUGCAUGACGCCUCCUGUGGAUGGGUCACAAAAUGACUGUGCAGCAGCCGAAGGCCCCUGGAACCCAGACAGAUGUGCUACUGGCUGACCUUCAGCACUGCAGGCCCACUGGCGAGCUCACAGUGGCUUCAGCUCUCACACCGUGUAGCUGGUGCAGCCAGGCCUGGCUAAAGUGGGCCACCUGGAGCACAGGCGCCUCCUACGCCAGCGCUGGCUGCGGCCCAGGCAGCAGAAGGGCUACCCCUGGGGAGGCCCAGGCCCAGGGCUUCCCCCGCCCCCUGAACUACACCCAUGGCUGCCACUUCAGCUGAUCUGCGGUGACAUGCCCACCACCACCUCAGACCUCUACAGCUUCUGCAUCCUGAUCCAGGAGGUCUUCACUGAGAAACUGUACAUCAAGUGGCUCACAGAGCCAAGACCACACCCAGGCCUGUGGCCCCUGUGAUGUCCCCAGGCCCCAUCCCAUGCCAGGCCUGAGACUCCUGAGGUCAGAGACCACAGCAGGAUCCCAAGGGGUGCAGCCUGGAACUUGGGCAGCAGCUUGACUCUAGGCAGCAGCUCUGGGCCCAGCCCAGGACCCAGCCCUGGGUCUGGCCACAGCCCCACAGCCAGGGUCAGCCUGCACUGCUGCCUGGAGCCCAGCUCAACAGUACAGAUACCCCCAGAGCCCUGCACAACUGUCCCACUGCUAACCUGUGACCCCCUCCGCCCGCCCUCCAGGAGUCACCAACCCGAAGUUCCCUGGCUGCCUCUCCUUUGACCAGGGAACUUUAGGGUCGCCCAACUGUCCCCUCACUCACCUAUGACCCUUAACCAACCCUGCUUCCCCCAGGGCCCUUCCCUGCACUCCAACUCCAGCCUCUAGGACUCAGCCUCCCUGCUGGGGACCCAGAGCUCUGCGGAACAGUUUGAGGAAGCUCUCAGCCAAGAUUCCAGCCCUGCAGGGGCUGCUGCGGCGCACACACAGGGUUAUUCUGCUGGAGCCCCAGCCCUGUGAGCCCAUCCCCAGCCUGCUGACCCACAGGGAGGCUUCCCACACACUGGGAGGCUGCUGGCAGGGAAGGCCACGAGGGCAGGCUAAGCAGAGGACCCCGAGCUCAGCCUGUGCCCCAUCUGCCCUCCCAGGCCCGCUGGAGCACCAUGGCUACCAGGUGGCAGCUCCAGCCUUCUCUCCUGCAGGCACCCGGUACUGAGCUGACUAGAGGAGGUCUCUUCUCCAGCCUGCAGAAGAUGGACCUGCUGGAGGAGAUCAUAGCAGAGCUACAAAAAGGAUGUCAGCUUGGAGAAAAGCCCAGCCUGAGCCCCACUCCUGACCUAGACUCCCAGGGUGCCCAUGGUUCCCCUCUCUGCAGAUACCACCUCUCAGAGGCUCCCAGGAGUAACUCCUGCCUUGGUGCCUCCCCAAAAGGAAAUAGAAUGAUAAAGUGCC